This is a non-coding RNA of Solanum lycopersicum (tomato), 156 nucleotides long. NCBI's taxonomy places the organism in Eukaryota, Viridiplantae, Streptophyta, Magnoliopsida, Solanales, Solanaceae. The record is from Rfam.
AAGAGGAGAGCAUGUCAAGGUAGCCAAGGAGACUGCCUGAAACCAACCAAUAAAAGGUCACCAUUAUAUUAAUAAUGAUAAAAUUAAAAACCUUAUAAGUAAUAUUGGAGCAGGCAAGUCAUCCUUGGCUACUAAACAAUAAUAUAACUCUCCUCU